UACGAAGGGUGCAAACGUUGCUCGGAAUUAUUGGGCGUAAAGCGCACGUAGGCGGCUUUGUAAGUUGGAUGUGAAAGCCCUCGGCUCAACCAAGGAAGUGCAUCCAAAACUACAGAGCUUGAGUACUUAAGAGGAUCGUGGAAUUCCCGGUGUAGAGGUGAAAUUCGUAGAUAUCGGGAGGAACACCAGUGGCGAAGGCGGCGAUCUGGGAAGAUACUGACGCUCAUGUGCGAAAGCGUGGGGAGCAAACAGG
This 253-nucleotide ribosomal RNA is filed under the name uncultured bacterium. Its description in RNAcentral is "partial 16S ribosomal RNA". It matches the Rfam family "Bacterial small subunit ribosomal RNA", at positions 524 to 776 of the family's 1533-position model. The record is from RNAcentral.